RNAcentral lists this ribosomal RNA (396 nucleotides) under Triticum aestivum (bread wheat). RNAcentral describes it as "partial small subunit ribosomal RNA". The record is from RNAcentral. Lineage: Eukaryota; Viridiplantae; Streptophyta; Magnoliopsida; Poales; Poaceae.
AUGGAUGACAACACAAACAGCCUCAAAUCGAUGUUGGAAACCAUCUUGUCUCGCCUCGACGAGCAGAAGCUCGACAACGACAAACGGCUCGAGGCCCAGGUCGCCUUUAACGCGCAAGUCUCCCAGGACCUGCGCAACCUCGCUAAGCAAGUGGACCUCACCCAGGCGAACAUCGACAAGACGCGCAAGGCACUGGAGCAGUCGCCGUCUCCGCAGGGAUCUGGAUUCGCCACCGUCUACAACCCACCGCCGCCACCACCGUUGCGACCCGCACCACAGCAACAUGGGUUGCCGCCUUCGCCUCGUCUCACGGAUCAGCGACCUCCGCUGUUGGCACAACCAGCCACCGUGCAGCCCUUGGGCACCCAGACGGACGGCCUCCGCUGUUGUAAUUAG